Molecule: ribosomal RNA, 468 nt
Filed under: uncultured bacterium
Lineage: Bacteria
Description: partial 16S ribosomal RNA
Rfam family: Bacterial small subunit ribosomal RNA
Source: RNAcentral
GACGAACGCUGGCGGCGUGCUUAACACAUGCAAGUCGAACGGAAAGGCCCUGCUUUUGUGGGGUGCUCGAGUGGUGAACGGGUGAGUAACACGUGAGUAACCUGCCCUUGACUUUGGGAUAACUUCAGGAAACUGGGGCUAAUACCGGAUAGGAGCUCCUGCUGCAUGGUGGGGGUUGGAAAGUUUCGGCGGUUGGGGAUGGACUCGCGGCUUAUCAGCUUGUUGGUGGGGUAGUGGCUUACCAAGGCUUUGACGGGUAGCCGGCCUGAGAGGGUGACCGGCCACAUUGGGACUGAGGUACGGCCCAGACUCCUACGGGAGGCAGCAGUGGGGAAUAUUGCACAAUGGGCGGAAGCCUGAUGCAGCAACGCCGCGUGCGGGAUGACGGCCUUCGGGUUGUAAACCGCUUUCGCCUGUGACGAAGCGUGAGUGACGGUAAUGGGUAAAGAAGCACCGGCUAACUACGUG